CGACUCGACUUGAUGAGCGCAACACGACUAACGAAGAAAAAAAAAAAAGGAGAGAGAACCCGGAAAUUCCUUGCGAAAACCCCUGAGAUUGCGGAACGCGCAGCCUGGAAUCAGAAUUCUACUUUAUCAUCGAUGCUCUCAUCCAGUGAAAAACAUCCAUUCAGGAGAAUCAGACAGACUGGUUUAAGGUGAUAGGAUGUCUACGAUGGUAGAUGGCUCAGCUUUGGUCUCAAAAGCAUGGAUCUAUGCCUUGUGAAGACUCAUUUGAAUCCCAUUCAAGAUCUAUGAAAAGAGUUGGAACUUGCAGCCUGGAGAACCUUUAAAACCUGUAGAGUGAUCAUGAAGAAUGGACCAAACUACACCAUAUG
Silurus meridionalis is the source of this 368-nucleotide long non-coding RNA. RefSeq lists it as uncharacterized. NCBI's taxonomy places the organism in Eukaryota, Metazoa, Chordata, Actinopteri, Siluriformes, Siluridae. The record is from RefSeq and is a predicted model, not a curated record. The transcript has 3 exons.